RNAcentral lists this ribosomal RNA (466 nucleotides) under uncultured bacterium. RNAcentral describes it as "partial 16S ribosomal RNA". It matches the Rfam family "Bacterial small subunit ribosomal RNA", at positions 338 to 795 of the family's 1533-position model. The record is from RNAcentral.
CCUACGGGUGGCUGCAGUAGGGAAUCUUCCACAAUGGGCGACAGCCUGAUGGAGCAACGCCGCGUGGGUGAAGAAGGUCUUCGGAUCGUACAACCCUGUUGUUAGAGAAGAAAGUGCGUGAGAGUAACUGUUCACGUUUCGACGGUAUCUAACCAGACAGCCACGGCUAACUACGUGCCAGCAGCCGCGGUAAUCCGGGGGAUGCAAGCGUUAUCCGGAUUUAUUGGGUUUAAGGGGUGCGUAGGCUGUGAGGUAAGUCAGCGGUGAAAUGCCCCCGCUCAACGGGGUGAAGGGCCAUUGAUACUGCCUUGCUGGAAUGCGGAUGCCGUGGGAGGAAUGUGUGGUGUAGCGGUGAAAUGCAUAGAUAUCACACAGAACACCGAGUGCGAAGGCAUCUCACGAAUCCGCGAUUGACGCUGAUGCACGAAAGCGUGGGUAUCAAACAGGAUUAGAUACCCUAGUAGUC